This 1704-nucleotide long non-coding RNA is filed under the name Brassica napus (rape). RNAcentral describes it as "long non-coding RNA (BNAP_LNC002211)". The record is from RNAcentral. Lineage: Eukaryota; Viridiplantae; Streptophyta; Magnoliopsida; Brassicales; Brassicaceae.
UGUAUUUUUAAAUAGUUUUCUUAAAAGCUGCUAUUUUUGGAAAGUUUUCAUUUUCUAGAAAUUUUUUAUAGAUUUGAGUUUGUGAUUUAGAAAUUAGAAUAACAAGAAUAUUUAUGGAUAGUUGAGUAUUCUCUCAAAUUUUUCCUGAAUAGACUAUAUUUUAAAAUAAUUUUCUUGAAAACUACUAUUAUUGAAUUUUUUCAUUUAUUAGAGAAAUACUGUAUACUUGAGUUUAUAAUUUAGAAAUUAGGAUAACAAGAAUAUUUGAAAAUAGUUGACUAUUCUUUAAGAAUUUUUCAUCAAUAUGUUGUAUUUUUAAAUAAUUUCUUUAAAACCUGCUAUUUUUGGAAAGUUUUCAUUAUUUUUAGGUAAAUUUAAUAGAUUUAAGUUUGUGAUUCUUAAAACCUGCUAUUUUUGGAAAGUUUUCAUUUUUUGAAAAAUAAUGUGGAUUUGGGUUUGUGAUUUAGAAAUUAGGAUAACAAGAAUAUUUGUGGAUUGAUGAGUAUUCUUUCAGAUUUUUCAUGAAAAUGUUGUAUUUUAAAACAAUUUUCUUUAAAAUGCUUUUUUGGAAAGUUUUAAUUUAUUAGAGAAAUACUGUAGAUUUGAGUUCAUGAUUUAGAAAUUAGGAUAACAAGAAUAUUUGAGGAUAAAUGAGUAUUCUUUGAGAAUUUUUCAUCAGUAUGUUGUAAUUUCAAAUAAUUUUCUUAAAAGCUGCUAUUUUUGGAAAGUUUUUGUGGAUAAAUGAUUAUUCUUUCAGAAUUUUUCAUCAAUAUGUUGUACUUUUAAAUAAUUUCCUUAAAACCUACUAUUUUUGGAAAGUUUUCAUUUUUUAAAAAUAAUGUGGAUUUGGGUUUGUGAUUUAGAAAUUAGGAUAACAAGAAUAUUUGUGGAUAGAUGAGUAUUCUUUCAGAAUUUUUCAUCAAUAUUUUAUAUUUUUAAAUAAUUUCCUUAAAACCUGCUAUUUUUGGAAAGUUUUCAUUUUUUGAGAAAUAAUGUGGAUUUGGGUUUGUGAUUUAGAAAUUAGGAUAACAAGAAUAUUUGUGGAUAGAUGAGUAUUCUUUCAGAAUUUUUCAUCAAUAUGUUGUAUUUUUAAAUAAUUUUUUUAAGACCUGCUAUUUUUGGAAGGUUUUCAUUUUUUGAGAAAUAAUGUGGAUUUGGGUUUGUGAUUUAGAAAUUAGGAUAACAAGAAUAUUUGUGGAUAGAUGAGUAUUCUUUCAGAAUUUUUCAUCAAUAUGUUGUAUUUUUAAAUAAUUUUCUUAAAACCUGCUUUUUUUGGAAAGUUUUCAUUUUUUGAGAAAUAAUGUGGAUUUGGGUUUGUGAUUUAAAAAAUAGGAUAACAAGAAUAUUUGAGGAUAGAUGAGUAUUCUUUCAGAAUUUUUCAUCAAUAUGUUGUAUUUUUAAAUAAUUUUCUUAAAACCUGCUAUUUUUGGAAAGUUUUCAUUUUUUAGAGAAAUAAUGUGGAUUUGGGUUUGUGAUUUAGAAAUUAGGAUAACAAGAAUAUUUGUGGAUAGAUGAGUAUUCUUUCAUAAUUUUUCAUCAAUAUGUUGUAUUUUUCAAUAGUUUUCUUAAAACCUGCUAUUUUUGGAAAGUUUUUAUUUUUUGAGUAAUAAUGUGGAUUUGGGUUUAUGAUUUAGAAAUUAGAAUAACAAGAAUAUUUGUGGAUAGAUGAGUAUUCUUUCAGAAUUUUUCAUCAAUAUGUGUAUU